UUUACUCAAACUUGGUUCCACAAUCAAGUCUAUGAGAACAUUGAACUCUUGUUAUGUGAAGGGAGGAAGUUCUUUCAAGUGGCAGAAGAAGGAGCUAAAUUCAACAGCUAGAUGUCAAAACACAAGGUUAUGACAUUUUGUUCAACAUCAGAAUCUUAGUUGGUGAAGUGGCACAUCAACUUGAGAUAGAAGGGUCUACAGGGUUGUAGAUUGGAUACUUCAAAAAG
RNAcentral lists this long non-coding RNA (227 nucleotides) under Lathyrus oleraceus (garden pea). RNAcentral describes it as "Pisum sativum (pea) long non-coding RNA (PSAT_LNC026169)". Lineage: Eukaryota; Viridiplantae; Streptophyta; Magnoliopsida; Fabales; Fabaceae. The record is from RNAcentral.